RNAcentral lists this transfer RNA (74 nucleotides) under Streptomyces phage TunaTartare. RNAcentral's name for it is "tRNA-Ile". It matches the Rfam family "tRNA". Rfam says of the family: Transfer RNA (tRNA) molecules are approximately 80 nucleotides in length. The record is from RNAcentral. Lineage: Duplodnaviria; Heunggongvirae; Uroviricota; Caudoviricetes; Stanwilliamsviridae.
UGGGGUGUAGCUCAGGGGUAAGAGCGGUUCUCUGAUAAAGAACAGGUCGGUGGUUCGAUUCCACUCAUCCCAAC